CGAGCGGCGGACGGCUGAGUAACACGUAGGAACGUACCCCAAAGUGAGGGAUAAGCACCAGAAAUGGUGUCUAAUACCGCAUGUGCUCUAAGGAGUAAGGCUUUAUGCGCUUUGGGAGCGGCCUGCGCCUGAUUAGUUUGUUGGUGAGGUAAUGGCUCACCAAGACUACGAUCAGUAGCUGGUCUGAGAGGAUGAUCAGCCAGACUGGGACUGAGAACGGCCCAGACUCCUACGGGAGGCAGCAGUAGGGAAUUUUCCACAAUGGACGAAAGUCUGAUGGAGCAACGCCGCGUGCAGGAUGAAUGCCUUUGGGUUGUAAACUGCUUUUAUCUGUGACGAAUAUGACGGUAGCAGAUGAAUAAGGAUCGGCUAACUCCGUGCCAGCAGCCGCGGUCAUACGGAGGAUCCAAGCGUUAUCCGGAAUUACUGGGCGUAAAGAGUUGCGUAGGUGGCAUUGUAAGUUAGUAGUGAAAUCGUGUGGCUCAACCAUGCUCACAUUACUAAAACUACAAAGCUAGAGAAUGAGAGAGGUCGCUAGAAUUCCCUGUGUAGGAGUGAAAUCCGUAGAUAUAGGGAGGAAUACCGAUGGCGUAGGCAGGCGACUGGCUCAUUUCUGACACUAAGGCACGAAAGCGUGGGUAGCAAACGGGAUUAGAUACC
This 660-nucleotide ribosomal RNA is filed under the name uncultured bacterium. RNAcentral describes it as "bacterial SSU rRNA". It matches the Rfam family "Bacterial small subunit ribosomal RNA", at positions 92 to 786 of the family's 1533-position model. The record is from RNAcentral.